GGCCUUUGCGUUCGCGCGCGCGGCCCCUAUAUGUGGUCGUGCCGGGUUCCACCCGGCUAUGGCGAUAAACCAUGGCGUAGAAUAGAUGCAGCGGACCCGGGGGCAGUACCCGGCGGCUCCACCAUCUGCGCCGCAUGGCCGGCGCGUUACACGCGCGACGGCGGCGGCGUAGCUGACGGGGCCGAACCAGGAUCGACGUGUAUUGAAAGGCGCCGUCUUCGCUCGGAAUGGGACCACCGCAACGGCCCAUUACACAAGUGCCAACGAUAACGAAGCACUCGCGAUGGCGGCGUAACUGAUGGCCUAACGGCCUGACGUUACACCAAAAUAGCGCGGUUGGACCCCACCGGGCAACAGAAGGGGAUUCCA
Molecule: transfer-messenger RNA, 369 nt
Filed under: Sphingomonas adhaesiva
Lineage: Bacteria; Pseudomonadati; Pseudomonadota; Alphaproteobacteria; Sphingomonadales; Sphingomonadaceae
Also listed under: 1 other name
Description: Alphaproteobacteria transfer-messenger RNA
Rfam family: Alphaproteobacteria transfer-messenger RNA
About the family: Bacterial tmRNA, also known as 10Sa RNA or SsrA, is named for its dual tRNA and mRNA-like properties. Its role is to liberate the mRNA from a stalled ribosome.
Source: Rfam by way of RNAcentral